RNAcentral lists this ribosomal RNA (497 nucleotides) under uncultured bacterium. Its description in RNAcentral is "partial 16S ribosomal RNA". It matches the Rfam family "Bacterial small subunit ribosomal RNA", at positions 28 to 507 of the family's 1533-position model. The record is from RNAcentral.
GACGAACGCUGGCGGCGUGCCUAAUACAUGUAAGUUGAGCGCUGAAGGUUGGUACUUGUACCAACUGGAUGAGCAGCGGACGGGUGAGUAACGCGUGGGUAAUCUGCCUUUGAGCCGGGGACAACAUUUGGAAACGAAUGCUAAUACCGCAUAAAAACUUUAAACACAAGUUUUAAGUUUGAAAGAUGCAAUUGCAUCACUCAAAGAUGAUCCCGCGUUGUAUUAGCUAGUUGGUGAGGUAAAGGCUCACCAAGGGGAUGAUACAUAGCCGGCCUGAAAGGGUGAUCGGCCACAUUGGGACUGAGACACGGCCCAAACUCCUACGGGAGGCAGCAGGAGGGAAUCUUCGGACAUGGACGAAAGUCUGACCGAGGCACGCCGCGGGAGGGAAGAAGGGUUUCGGAUCGGAAAACUCUGUUGGUAGAGAAGAAAGUUGGUGAGAGUGGAAAGCUCAUCAAGUGACGGUAACUACACAGAAAGGGACGGCUAACUACGUG